ACGCACGCUGGCGGCGUGCUUAACCCCUGCACGUCGCACGGAAAGGCCCUGCUUUUGUGGGGUGCUCGAGUGGCGAACGGGUGAGUAACACGUGAGUAACCUGCCCUUGACUUUGGGAUAACUUCAGGAAACUGGGGCUAAUACCGGAUAGGAGCUCCUGCUGCAUGGUGGGGGUUGGAAAGUUUCGGCGGUUGGGGAUGGACUCGCGGCUUAUCAGCUUGUUGGUGGGGUAGUGGCUUACCAAGGCUUUGACGGGUAGCCGGCCUGAGAGGGUGACCGGCCACAUUGGCACUGAGAUACGGCCCAGACUCCUACGGGAGGCAGCAGUGGGGAAUAUUGCACAAUGGGCGGAAGCCUGAUGCAGCAACGCCGCGUGCGGGAUGACGGCCUUCGGGUUGUAAACCGCUUUCGCCUGUGACGAAGCGUGAGUGACGGUAAUGGGUAAAGAAGCACCGGCUAACUACGUG
This 467-nucleotide ribosomal RNA is filed under the name uncultured bacterium. Its description in RNAcentral is "partial 16S ribosomal RNA". It matches the Rfam family "Bacterial small subunit ribosomal RNA", at positions 29 to 507 of the family's 1533-position model. The record is from RNAcentral.